UGGAGGGCAAGUCUGGUGCCAGCAGCCGCGGUAAUUCCAGCUCCAAUAGCGUAUAUUAAAGUUGUUGCAGUUAAAAAGCUCGUAGUUGAAUUUCGGGGUCAGCAGGUUGGUCGUGCCAAUGGUAUGAACUGGCCUUGCUGAUUCCUCCCUCUUGAUGAGCCGUAAUGUCAUUAAUUUGGUGUUGCGGGGAAUCAGGACUGUUACUUUGAAAAAAUUAGAGUGUUUAAAGCAAGCAAGCGCUUGAAUACAUCAGCAUGGAAUAAUGAAAUAGGACGUUUGAUCCUAUUUUGUUGGUUUCUAGGAUUGACGUAAUGAUUAAUAGGGAUAGUUGGGGGCAUUAGUAUUCAAUUGUCAGAGGUGAAAUUCUUGGAUUUAUUGAAGACUGACUACUGCGAAAGCAUUUGCCAAGGAUGUUUUCAUUAAUCAAGAACGAAAGUUAGGGGAUCGAAGACGAUCAGAUACCGUCGUAGUCUUAACCAUAAACUAUGCCGACUAGGGAUCGGAUGAUGUUAAUUUUUUAAUGACUCAUUUGGCACCUUACGGGAAAC
Molecule: ribosomal RNA, 548 nt
Filed under: uncultured Glomus
Lineage: Eukaryota; Fungi; Glomeromycota; Glomeromycetes; Glomerales; Glomeraceae
Description: SSU rRNA
Rfam family: Eukaryotic small subunit ribosomal RNA
Source: RNAcentral